This 76-nucleotide transfer RNA is filed under the name Ensifer fredii. RNAcentral describes it as "Sinorhizobium fredii tRNA-Ala". It matches the Rfam family "tRNA". From Rfam's summary of the family: Transfer RNA (tRNA) molecules are approximately 80 nucleotides in length. Their secondary structure includes four short double-helical elements and three loops (D, anti-codon, and T loops). The record is from RNAcentral. Lineage: Bacteria; Pseudomonadati; Pseudomonadota; Alphaproteobacteria; Hyphomicrobiales; Rhizobiaceae.
GGGGCUGUAGCUCAGCUGGGAGAGCACCUGCCUUGCAAGCAGGGGGUCAGCGGUUCGAUCCCGCUCAGCUCCACCA